Molecule: long non-coding RNA, 212 nt
Filed under: Trifolium pratense (red clover)
Lineage: Eukaryota; Viridiplantae; Streptophyta; Magnoliopsida; Fabales; Fabaceae
Description: long non-coding RNA (TPRA_LNC006589)
Source: RNAcentral
CAUGAUUCCCCUGGUUCAACCAGAGUGAUAAACUUGGUCUUUGUUGAUCCAUCAUCAACGAAUUGUUGUUGAAAUCUACAUGAAAUCCAUGAUUUGAACCAUAUUGUGGAGAUGGAAUUCCACCUAUGUUUUGAAAUAUUCCAUGUUGUGAAUGUGAACCCAUCAUAGAACCACUACAUUCUUCAUUCUUGAAAUUUAGAUUUGUUGUUGGA